Molecule: long non-coding RNA, 472 nt
Filed under: Manihot esculenta (cassava)
Lineage: Eukaryota; Viridiplantae; Streptophyta; Magnoliopsida; Malpighiales; Euphorbiaceae
Description: long non-coding RNA (MESC_LNC003935)
Source: RNAcentral
GAGAAAUCAACAAAUUACAAUCACUCCAAUACUUGUCAAAUUUAGAUUUCAUCUUAUCAACCAAGGCUUUCAUAUAAAUAUCCCUUCAACAAAUAUUACACUUGAAUAAGCUUACUGGUUAACUGCAGAGGUGUGGGCAUGCGGCGGGACCGCGGGGCGUGGCUACAAACGACAGUCACCGGUGUCUCAUGAGCGCGAGAUGCAACAGAAUGGCAGGGCGUGGCUGCAAACGACCGUCGUCGGUGGCUGAGGAGCACGAGAUGCAAAGCGAGAUGCGGCAGAAUGGUGGGGCGUGGCUCACAAGCGGUCGUUGAAAUGCACGAUGCGGCGGUGGAGCUGUGAUUUCAGGUUGUUGACGGCGACGGGCCUCCAGCGAUGUCGACAGGUCUGUAGGAGGCAAUGGUGAAUGGCGAUGCGGCAGCAGCAGAGGGUGAUUCGGCAAUUGGGUGAUUUGGGAAUUAGGUUAUUAUUA